AUUUAUUAUAAAUCAAAGUUUUAAUACAUAAAAUGUACAACUUUACAAAUUUAAGAAAUAGUAAUGGAAAAAUAGUGUUUAAAAUAUGAUUUUAUGUUUUUAAUGAGAUUAAAGAAAGAGAAACUUGAGUAGUCAAGUAUUGGACCCAAAUGUCAAAUAAUUUUAAUUGGGGAUUUUUAUAAAAUUAAGAAAGUUUGGCUAAAGGGCUUAUUUGAAAAGAAUUUUAGUAUUUUGGGUCCAAGUGUAAUUUUUAAAAAUAAAUAAAUAAAAAAUAAAAUAAAAUAAAAUAAAAGGCUUCAGCCUUUCAUUUUACCCGAGCCCCUCUCUCUCUCUCCUCAGAAACCCUCUCUCUCUCUCUCCUCAGAAACUCUCUCUCUCUCUCUCUCUCUCUCUCUCUCCUCUGCGUAUUACUGUUGCCGACGACGCAGGAGUACUUUCCGGCCACCAUUUUUAGCCACGCGCCGGACCGUUGGAUUCAGAGGCCUCCGAACUAUCGACCAACGCGGGAAUCUAGAGCUCACUCGCCGAUUAAACGCCUCAACCACUCGAUUUAAGUUCGGCCACCCCGCGACUUCAAAGUUGCGAUUCGGCCACCUCGGGCAUCCGUUUGCCGAUCCGUCACCACCAUCGUGCUCCUCGUGUUGUGGGCUUCAAAACCCAAUAACUUGUUCCUACAUCUACCAUAGUUGGGUGGUGGGCCCACCACGAGCCACCGCGAUCCACCGUAGAUCGACGGUCGAAACUUAGUGUUCGAGGUUCCGAAGUACGUUUUGAGUCUCAGAAAAUCAUCGUUUGACUUAUUGUGGAACCCGAUCAUUUUGGAUUUGUAUGGAUUUGAUUGAUUGACUCUUGGUGAGGAAUUUUAAAAUAAGCUAAGGACCUAAGGUGUGGCUUUAGCUGUUGAGCAACUUGUGGAGCACGGACUCAGUAGCAAUGCAAUAAUGGUUUUAGAGUUUUCAUAUGGCUGCCUUAAAUUUAAAGUAUUCAUACGUGUAAUAAUUUCUUCUAAUAAGUUUAUAUAAAAGUUUUAAAUUUUUCUGUA
Humulus lupulus (European hop) is the source of this 1042-nucleotide long non-coding RNA. RefSeq lists it as uncharacterized. The transcript has 3 exons. The record is from RefSeq and is a predicted model, not a curated record. NCBI's taxonomy places the organism in Eukaryota, Viridiplantae, Streptophyta, Magnoliopsida, Rosales, Cannabaceae.